This 267-nucleotide unclassified non-coding RNA is filed under the name Hevea brasiliensis (rubber tree). Lineage: Eukaryota; Viridiplantae; Streptophyta; Magnoliopsida; Malpighiales; Euphorbiaceae. The record is from RNAcentral.
AAGUCAAGUUUCCAAUGGCACUUGUAAUUGCUCCUUGAAAAUUGGUGGAUGUCCCGUCGAGACUGUUGAGGGAGGCAAAAUUUCCAAUGGCACUUGGAAUUCCAUCUAGCAACUCAAAAUUAUAGGAAAGGCGAAGAAGCUCAAGCUGGGGAAGACCAUGUAACCAAAAGGCCAUGGAAGAAUUAAAAUGAUUAGAAGACAAAUCAAGCUCUCUAAGUGAAGUUAUAUUUUGAAGUUGAACAGGGAUUGGUCCAAAAAAAUUACUAU